CUUCCUUCGGGAGGGGAGUAGAGUGGCGCACGGGUGAGUAACACGUAGGUAAUCUACCUUUGGGUGGGGAAUAACAGCCGGAAACGGCUGCUAAUACCGCAUAAUGCAGCGGCUCGACAUCGAGACAGUUGUUAAAGCGGGGGAUUCGCAAGAACCUCGCGCCUAAAGAGGAGCCUGCGGCAGAUUAGCUAGUUGGUGGGGUAAUGGCUCACCAAGGCAACGAUCUGUAACCGGCCUGAGAGGGCGGUCGGUCACACUGACACUGACAUACGGGUCAGACUCCUACGGGAGGCAGCAGGUCGGGAAUUUUGGGCAAUGGGCGAAAGCCUGACCCAGCAACGCCGCGUGAAGGAUGAAAUCCCUCGGGAUGUAAACUUCGCAAGAAUGGGAAGAACAAGUGGGGGACAAUACCCCCCAUGAUGACGGUACCAUUUGUAAGCUCCGGCUAACUCCGUGCCAGCAGCCGCGGUAAUACGGGGGGAGCAAGCGUUGUUCGGAUUUACUGGGCGUAAAGGGCGCGUAGCGGCCACGACAAGUCACUUGUGAAAUCUCCGGGCUUAACUCGGAACGGUCAAGUGAUACUGUCGGGCUAGAGUGCA
RNAcentral lists this ribosomal RNA (599 nucleotides) under uncultured bacterium. RNAcentral describes it as "bacterial SSU rRNA". It matches the Rfam family "Bacterial small subunit ribosomal RNA", at positions 74 to 650 of the family's 1533-position model. The record is from RNAcentral.